UGGGAUAUUUCAGCCAGUCAAUCUGAUAGUUUUCAUAUCCCAAAGCCUCCAAUUGGCAAGCACUAUUGACAUUGGAUGGCAUGAUCGUAGUCAUAUAUAGUCUUUUUGCUGACUGGAAAGGUUUUCACUGUACGAAGCAUUUCACGGUACACGCAACAGUAAACUAAACUCAAGCUCAAAAGAAGGUGCAUUGUUGACUGAGUGAAGACUUUGAAGAGUACCAAUUUGCCCAAAGUGUGAAGUCUCUUUUCCUCCUUCAAUAAUUGUAUUGCGAAACUGUGGAUAAAAUUUACAAACGGAGCCUAGUCAGGGCAUACAUUUUGAGAAGACAUUGUGAAAGGAAAGAAAUUCGACAAAGAAUUGGCCAGAAAAUCUUGAACGUGAUUCCAUCGGAAGCAGAUGGCUACAAACGAUGACAACGCUGCUGUUAAUGUUGGGGAAAACAGUGUGGCAUCAGAUGCAACUGUUCCCAGAGAGGUGGCUACAAACGAUGCCAACGCUGCUGUUAAUGUUGGGGAAAACAGUGUGGCAUCUGGUGCAACUGUUCCCAGAGAGGUGGCUACAAACGAUGACAAUGCUGCUGUUAAUAAUGGGGAAAACAGUGUGGCAUCUAGUGCAACUGUUCCCAGAGUGAUGGAGCGUGAGUUCGAAAAAACAACAGAGGAGUGUGAGGAGAAAAAGAGGGGGAGAGAGAAGAGAGAGAAAACAGAGCUAUGGAAUUCGAGAAAGAGAAAGAGAGAGAGCUACGAGGGAAGAGAGAGAGGCGGGAACGAGUGCAGGCAGGCGAUAGAGAUCGGAGAGAAGAAACGGAGAAAAGAGAUCGACGAGAGCAAUGAGAGAGAGAUGAGCGAGGAAACAGAACAAUGGAAUUUGAGAAAGAGAGAGAGCAACGAGGGAUACGAGAGUGACAGCAAUGAGAGCAGUCAGACGAGUGAGGGGAAAGAGGAGAGAGAUGAGAGAGAGGAAGAAGAAGAGAGAGAUGAGAGAGAGGAAGAAGGAGAGAGAGAGGGAUGACAUUCAAACUCAACCAAGGGUAGCAACAACUGAAAGCCAAGAGAGACAGAUUCUCACAAAGAAAAAAACAUAGAAUGGAAUGAAAUACUUUAUUGUCAUGUGACCAGGCACAGUGAAAUUAUUUGCUUGCAUACCCAAUGUGUACAAAUCUCAAGAAGGGUCUCGACCCGAAACACCACCAAUUCCUUCCCUGCAGAGAUGCUGCCUGGCCCAUUACGUUACUCCAGCAUUUUGUGUCUACCUUCAAUGUACACAAAUCGCAGCCACCUACGGCACUGACAAACUUACAAAGUACACCGGCUCCUCCUUUUAUUCUACUUCCACCCCCUCCCCUCCCAGAGAGCAGUUCCCCCACACUGUGUCCCCAUUGUCAUUUGUUCCCCCCUCCUCCCCAAUUCAGAAUCAGAAUCAGAAUUAAUCAGAUUUUAUUCGCCAAGAAUGUUUUGCACCAUAUACGAGGAAUUUCACUGGCCAGGUCAGUCAUACAAUUGAAAGCAACAGACUCAAAAACACAUUUUAACGUGAACAUCCACCACAGUGACUCCUACACAUUCCUCACUGUGAUGGAAGGCAAAAUAAAGUUCAAGUCCUUCCUAUUGUUUUUCCUCGGUCGGGGGCCUCGAGCCCCCGUUGACAGGAUGGUCUUGACUCCCGUAGUUGUCGGUGUUCGGUCCCUCCGCGUCGAGGCGAUCAGCUCCUGCAUCGGGUGGUUGUCAGUUCCCCUGCGCCGGGCGAUCAAACCUCGUGUCGGAGCUAGUUGAACGUUCUACGGCGUUAGAGCUCCCGACUAGCCUCUCCCGAGACUGCGAGCCCUUGAUGGUAAGUCUGCAGACCGCAGUGGGAGCAAUCCCAGGCAAGGGAUCCGCUCCGAUGUUAAGUCCGCGCCCCGCAAUGGGGCUCACGACAGUCCGAUGUGGCUCCCAGCACCAGCGAUGGUACGCUGCAGAGCCUGGAGAAUGUGAUUGGAAAAUCAAUCACAUCUCUGGGAAGGUACGAAAAAGUUUCCCCCGAUCCUCCCCCCUCCCACCACAUAAAACAAGCCAAAGUACAUUAAAACAAACUCUUAACAGAUGCUAAAAUUAACAAAAGAUGAAAAAACAAACGGAUUGCCGGCAGGUCUAGCCAUCUCCCCAGUGCCCAUGGUGGUCUUGUAGUCCAUUGAACAAUUGUCAAUUUUUCUUCCCCACCUCCCUCACUGUGAUCCCCCCAUGGGAGACUAUAUAGUAUAUAGAAUUUUUAUAUUUAACGAAUGAAAUAAUUUCAAGUUAUGUAUUACUCUGUUAUGGCCAAAUCCAGGUGUAUGUGUGAACGAGGUAACAAAGCCUGUAUUAAAACCACUCAAUUUCCAGCUAUGUUGCAUCAAUGCUGGAUGCUUCAGACAAUAUAUUGCGCUACAAUGCUGAGAAUUAUAUUCUGUAUCCUGUCUCUUCCCCUUUUUUAUACGUAUUAUGCUUACAUUUAGCUUGAUUGUAUACAUGAAUAAUAUUUUCUGAUUUAAUUGGAUUGCAUGCAAAAGAAAGAUUUUUCACUGUAGCCCAUUAAGUACAU
Long non-coding RNA from Leucoraja erinaceus (little skate), 2562 nucleotides. RefSeq lists it as uncharacterized. The record is from RefSeq and is a predicted model, not a curated record. The transcript is spliced from 3 exons. NCBI's taxonomy places the organism in Eukaryota, Metazoa, Chordata, Chondrichthyes, Rajiformes, Rajidae.